Molecule: unclassified non-coding RNA, 358 nt
Filed under: soil metagenome
Description: partial contains 5.8S ribosomal RNA, internal transcribed spacer 2, and large subunit ribosomal RNA
Rfam family: 5.8S ribosomal RNA (bases 1-120)
Source: RNAcentral
GAUGAAGAACGUAGCGAAAUGCAAUAAGUAAUGUGAAUUGCAGAAUUCAGUGAAUCAUCGAAUCUUUGAACGCACAUUGCGCCCGUCAGUAUUCUGGCGGGCAUGCCUGUUCGAGCGUCAUUACGCCCCUCAAGUCCCCUGUGGACUUGGUGUUGGGGAUCGGCGAGGCUGGUUUUCCAGCACAGCCGUCCCUUAAAUUAAUUGGCGGUCUCGCCGUGGCCCUCCUCUGCGCAGUAGUAAAACACUCGCAACAGGAGCCCGGCGCGGUCCACUGCCGUAAAACCCCCCAACUUUUUAUAGUUGACCUCGAAUCAGGUAGGACUACCCGCUGAACUUAAGCAUAUCAAUAAGCGGAGGA